CCUACGGGAGGCAGCAGCCGCGGUAAUAUUGGACAAUGGGGGCAACCCUGAUCCAGCAAUGCCGCGUGAGUGAGGAAGGCCUUAGGGUUGUAAAGCUCUUUCGGCGGGGACGAUGAUGACGGUACCCGCAGAAGAAGCCCCGGCUAACUUCGUGCCAGCAGCCGCGGUAAU
This 171-nucleotide ribosomal RNA is filed under the name uncultured bacterium. RNAcentral's name for it is "partial 16S ribosomal RNA". It matches the Rfam family "Bacterial small subunit ribosomal RNA", at positions 338 to 524 of the family's 1533-position model. The record is from RNAcentral.